This 495-nucleotide ribosomal RNA is filed under the name uncultured bacterium. Its description in RNAcentral is "partial 16S ribosomal RNA". It matches the Rfam family "Bacterial small subunit ribosomal RNA", at positions 29 to 506 of the family's 1533-position model. The record is from RNAcentral.
AUGAACGCUGGCGGCGUGCCUAAUCCAUGCAAGUCGAGCGAACGGACGAGAAGCUUGCUUUUCUGAUGUUAGCGGCGGACGGGUGAGUAACACGUGGAUAACCUACCUAUAAGACUGGGAUAACUUCGGGAAACCGGAGCUAAUACCGGAUAAUAUUUUGAACCGCAUGGUUCAAAAGUGAAAGACGGUCUUGCUGUCACUUAUAGAUGGAUCCGCGCUGCAUUAGCUAGUUGGUAAGGUAACGGCUUACCAAGGCAACGAUGCAUAGCCGACCUGAGAGGGUGAUCGGCCACACUGGAACUGAGACACGGUCCAGACUCCUACGGGAGGCAGCAGUAGGGAAUCUUCCGCAAUGGGCGAAAGCCUGACGGAGCAACGCCGCGUGAGUGAUGAAGGUCUUCGGAUCGUAAAACUCUGUUAUUAGGGAAGAACAUAUGUGUAAGUAACUGUGCACAUCUGGACGGUACCUAAUCAGAAAGCCACGGCUAACUACGU